CAGCAGCCGCGGGAAUACGAAGGAGGCUAGCGUUGUUCGGAAUCACUGGGCGUAAAGCGCACGUAGGCGGACUUUUAAGUCAGGGGUGAAAUCCCAAGGCUCAACCUUGGAACUGCCUUUGAUACUGGAAGUCUUGAGUUCGGGAGAGGUGAGUGGAACUGCGAGUGUGGAGGUGAAAUUCGUAGAUAUUCGCAAGAACACCAGUGGCGAAGGCGGCUCACUGGCCCGAUACUGACGCUGAGGUGCGAAAGCGUGGGGAGCAAACAGGAUUAGAUACCCCCGUAGUCCCUGUCUCUUAUAC
RNAcentral lists this ribosomal RNA (301 nucleotides) under uncultured bacterium. RNAcentral's name for it is "partial 16S ribosomal RNA". It matches the Rfam family "Bacterial small subunit ribosomal RNA", at positions 509 to 807 of the family's 1533-position model. The record is from RNAcentral.